GGGGAAUCUUCCGCAAUGGGCGAAAGCCUGACGGAGCAAUGCCGCGUGAAGGAUGAAGGCCUAUGGGUUGUAAACUUCUUUUCUCAGAGAAGAAUUUUGACGGUAUCUGAGGAAUAAGCAUCGGCUAAUUCCGUGCCAGCAGCCGCGGUAAUACGGGAGUGGCAAGCGUUAUCCGGAAUUAUUGGGCGUAAAGCGUCCGCAGGCGGCCUUGAAAGUCUGUUGUUAAAACGUGGAGCUUAACUCCAUUUCAGCAAUGGAAACUACAAGACUAGAGUGUGGUAGGGGCAGAGGGAAUUCCCGGUGUAGCGGUGAAAUGCGUAGAUAUCGGGGAGAACACCAGUGGCGAAGGCGCUCUGCUGGGCCAUAAUUGACGCUCAUGGACGAAAGCCAGGGGAGCGAAAGGGAUUAGAUACCCCUGUAGUC
Molecule: ribosomal RNA, 423 nt
Filed under: uncultured cyanobacterium
Lineage: Bacteria; Bacillati; Cyanobacteriota
Description: bacterial SSU rRNA
Rfam family: Bacterial small subunit ribosomal RNA
Source: RNAcentral